RNAcentral lists this ribosomal RNA (402 nucleotides) under uncultured bacterium. Its description in RNAcentral is "bacterial SSU rRNA". It matches the Rfam family "Bacterial small subunit ribosomal RNA", at positions 355 to 750 of the family's 1533-position model. The record is from RNAcentral.
UAAGGAAUAUUGGUCAAUGGACGAAAGUCUGAACCAGCCAUGCCGCGUGAAGGAUGAAGGUCCUCUGGGAUUGUAAACUUCUUUUAUCUGGGACGAAAAAAAGGGAAUUCUUUCUCACUUGACGGUACCAGAAGAAUAAGCACCGGCUAACUCCGUGCCAGCAGCCGCGGUAAUACGGAGGGUGCAAGCGUUAUCCGGGAUUCACUGGGUUUAAAGGGUGCGUAGGUGGGCAGUUAAGUCAGUGGUGAAAUCUCCGGGCUUAACCCGGGAAACUGCCAUUGAUACUAUCUGUCUUGAAUACUCUGGAGGUAAGCGGAAUAUGUCAUGUAGCGGUGAAAUGCUUAGAUAUGACAUAGAACACCGAUUGCGAAGGCAGCUUACUACGGAGUCAUUGACACUGAG